Molecule: long non-coding RNA, 5793 nt
Organism: Equus caballus (horse)
Lineage: Eukaryota; Metazoa; Chordata; Mammalia; Perissodactyla; Equidae
Source: Ensembl
AGCUGCUGUGUCCAUCAAGCACUGUGCCGACAGGGCAAUCUUGUGACUAUUGUAGGAGGGACAUUUCAAUCAUAUGUGAAACGUCCUGUAUGGGGGUAUAUGACCACUCUGUAUACCUCACUUCUUUGGUGCCCUUUCUUCCUUCGGGAAGAAAGGCCCCCGGCAUGGUCCUCAGAUUUCAGCUCAGAAUAAACUCACCCAAAUUUUCAUUUAUAGAUUGGUUAUGGAUUAUUUUCGUCGACAGUUCUUGGCGUAGUCGCAGCAGGGUUUCAGAGGAGCCCACCAGAGACCACCUGGAAUCUACACUGAGCCAGCAUUCGGUACCAAUAAGGGCCCAUUGAGCCCCCUGGAUCACUGCAUUCUUCAGGUGACCCUGACUCCAGAUGGCGUCAUGCUGUGAUUGCAAUUGCUUAACAAAGGGGGAUCCCAAGCCAGAUUGCUAAGGCUGAAAGAAAGAAAGAAAGAGGAAAAAGUUGGGAAAACAAGUUUUUUCACUGUGUUCUGCUAUGAGAACACCUAAGUAAGAUCUUUGUCUGUCUGUCUGUGUGUGUCUAUAUAUGUUACAAAAGUUUUUAUAUUUUACCUCCGGAUGGUACAAUUUCUAAAGAGCUCCAUUCCAUUCACUUAAAGUAAGCACUUACAAAAAGUUUUUCUAAAAGUUCUAACCCAAAUGUCUUUCAAGUUAACAUGGUAUAGGUUAAUCUUUGGUUAACGAAAGUUUAAGUCGUUGGUUUGAUUGAAAAGGCAUGUCCUCAAAAGUUGUUGGUAUUUGAAUAUGAUGCAGGCAUGCAGCCUGGGUUUACUAGUCAAAUAAGUUCAUGUUGUCUGUUAAAUUCGUCAACAAAAUAAUAGCUUUAAAUGAUGACCAGUUUUGUCUAAUGUCUCAUGAGGUUUUGUAGGUAAUCUGAACAUAAUUGUUGGAAACAAAUGGUUUAAAUAGAUAAAAGUGGGCAAAAUAACUGUUUUAUGGUCUGUAUACUUGGGGAAAAACAGCUUCCAAAUUCUUUUUGGUAACAAUCUUGAGUUUUGCUAAGUUAAAUUAUAAAAGUCUGAAUAUCUGGGUCAUUUUUGGAUUGGGUAGAACACUGAAACAUUAUUGCUAAACGAUCUAAGUUUAUCCACUUUUGGCUUCGUAUUGCAGAGAGGCUAAAAGUCUUUGGGUGUUUUAAAGGAAAGUAAAGUGUAAGUUUUCAGUAAAGAAGUUAUAAAGAAUGGAAAUAUUUUGUUUGAUUAGUUAAGAAAGAUAAAUUUGUCCUAAAGUACUAGGAGGAGAAAAAUAAAAGGAUAUGGGACAAAUUCUGAAUGCAAAAGAAAGUUAUAGAAGGUUUGUGUGAAAGAAAUUCAGAAAAGAGUUUUAUACCUGGUCAAGUUGGUUAAGAUUGAAAUGAAUCUAAUUAAGUAAAUGGGUUUUAAUAUGAAAAAGUAAACUGGUACAAAAAUUAGAAUUUGGCUUUCUCUCUUAAAAGGAUAAUUUUCUUAAACUCUUAGUCUGCUCUUGAUAAAGAGAUUACAAAAGGUUUUUCCUUCUGAGUAAGUUUACAGAAGAUCUAUGUUUUGUUAAGGUAAUUUCCUAGGUACAAAAAGACAGAGGUCUCUUUAUUAAGGGUUUUUUGCUGUUGUCACUUUGGUUAAACAUUAUGAAGCAUUGUUUCAUUGACCCUUGUUUUACAGUGACAAGAUCAGCAACCUCUUGAUCUUGUUUAAGUAACUGUUUAAAGAUCUUUUGAUAUUUUUGACAAGCUUCUCCCUCAAACAAAUAGUCAAGUCCUGAAUAAAGGCUUUCCUUUGAUCUGGAUGAAGGAGGAGAAUUUCUCUGAGGAUUUUCAGAGGGCCCCUGAAACUUCUCCAAGAAAUUUGUUCUCUCUUCCUCUGAAGGAGGCAUACAAAUUAGGCUUGUUUGGAAUGCUAAAUUGCAUGAGAAGCAUUGUCAAGUAAAUGAUAAUAAACCUCAGGUUAUGUUGUGUAGGUAAAUGCUAUUCACUAUUUUAACCUUGCUACUCAUGAGGAUUAUUUUUGGCUGGUUACUGUUAAAACUGCAGACGAGAAGGAGGUUCCGAGGUGUGGAAUUUGCUUGCCCUUUGAUAAGAGACAUUUGCAUUUGUGAAGGAAGUCUCCAUCUGUGGGUGUUUCCCUCUCUGCACCAGGAAGAAGGGAUGACGACCUUAUCUCUAGAAACUCUUAAUGGGGAUGGCAAGGACUUAAGUCUUGUUUAUUGUGCUUGUCUGGUAACCUCAUGUAGCUGACUCCCCCCACCACCAAUGCCCUCCUUUGUCUGUAGCUGCAGAUAGUAUUUAGGGUGGUAACUUCUGGUACUCACUUAAUCCGAUUUGAUUCUCAUCUAAAAGUUAUAGGACCACCCAGUAGCCAGACCCCACCUGCACUGAUACCAUUUUAACUUUUUUACAUAUUCUUUCCUUUGUCCUGUGAAGAGAUGACUCACAUGCCUCUGCCUUAGAUUUAGCUCUACUGUCAACCCAUGUUUGCAGCAGCAGCAGCUCCUGCCCGUGGGUCCUGUCCCCAUGCUGUUCUCUAGAUGGGAGAGCACUACUGCCAGACCUUGAGAGAAUCCAAAAAAUCUUUCUUUUGACUCCUCAGCUCACCGACCCUGCAUCAGCUACGUUGCUUCCAACAUCACAAGGGGAGAAGACCACGACUGCAUUCUAUUGUUUAAUUUGGUUUACAAGCUUAAGAAAUCACCACGGAAGAAGAAAAAUAUAUAUGUAUAUAGGUUACAGCAAGAGGGAAAAGUAAUACUUUUGGCAACUCUCUCCCAGUGGCUCAUAUAGCCUCUACUAUUUGUGCUAUAUGCCCAAAGUAUAAUCCGGAGAAGCCACUUCAUGAGUCACAAAGCCACUUUCCCUUCCUAAGGGACCCUUUGAGGUAUGACCAUUGGACUUUGUCCAAAUGCCACCAUCUCAAGGAUAAAUACAUCUUGUAAUGAUCUGUAUAUUCUCACAUUGUUUUGAGGCUUUUCCUUGCAGAAGAGUGAUGGCUUUAGAUAAAUUAUUAUUGAAAAGAAUAAAUUCCUGUUUGAGGAAUUCCUACCGAGUUACGUUGUGACUGGGAAACUCAUUUCACCGGAUAAAUAAUUGAAUCUAUUUGUAAUGUUUGGCAAAUAUUGCUGCAUUUCCACUGCACUUACCAUCCUCAAUCCUCAGGAUUCGUAGAAAGAACUAAUGGCACAACCAAAACUUAAUUGGCAAAGAUUUCAGAAGCAUUUACUCUCUCAUGGCCCAAAGCUCUUGUGCUAGCGCUCCUUAAUGUUAGAUCUACACAUUUUGUAAACAUCAGCUGUCUCCUUUUGAAAUAAUAAUAAAACAGCCUAUGCAAUUAGAUGAAGAAAUAUAUGAACCAAGCUUUGCUUAAGGGGUAUAUUAAAUUGUUGUCAUGGUCUUAUUGAGGUGCUUAAAGAAAUGAAAGAUUGGUAGCUGAUUCUUUCUCAGAGAGCUCCCAGAACUUAAGGAUCUUGGACUAUAACCUGGAGAGUUUAUUUAUUGAAAGAGACAUCAAAUAAGACUGUUUGCAGCCCUGUUGGAAGGGACCAUACCAGGAGGAGAAGAAGACGGCAUCUGUUGUAGACAGCUGUCCCAAGACUCCGGACCAGGCCUGUAUUCCUGACCUUAUAUCUCCUCAUUUAAACUUUUGUUAUGCUUAAACUGUAUACCUAUUUUAUAAUUUGUUUGGAAUACUAUCAUACUUAAAGAAAGGGAUUCAUUUGGAACAGACUGAUCUUGAAGGCCAGGAAUUUAUUGAGUGACUCCUAAUGGAACUCAAUGGUUAUGUGGAACAAAUCUUUGGCCUUGGCUACUGCCUGGAUGGCUAAAACACUACACCCUGAGUUUCCUUUAAAAGCAGAGAGGGAGUCAGGCUGAGUUAAAACCUGUUGCCAAUCUCCCUCUCUUUAAGGCCAGAUGGGCUCGUUCAGUGCUCCACUGGUAAGGCUAUAUUAGCAACUAUAUGUGCUUCUUCUUUGGGGCUAAAAGAUGUCGUUAUUACAUAUGGAAUCUCUGACUACAUUUACUCAAGAAGCCCUUAAUGAUAGUCAAGCAGGAAUACCCUUAUUUAAAUAGUGAAAUGUCUUUAAUGAGAAGGGCUGUCCUUCAAAACAGCAUGGCUUUAGAUAUUCUUACUGCAUCCCAAGGUGGUACAUAUACAAUCAUUCAGACUGAAUGCUGUGUUUUUAUAUGUGAUGAAUCUUCCAAUGUGUCAUCUCUGCUAAAGCACAUGAAGAAGCAAGUGGCUGCCUUAUGUGAAUCCUGCACCCCCUUUGAUUUGUUUGCUUGGCUCCCUUUUCAGUAUCAGUUCCCUUUUUCGAUCCGGAUUGCAAUUCCUAUUUCUAUUACUUAUUGGAAUCCUUGUACUGGUCAUAAUAUUCAAACUAAUUAUUGUUUUCUUUACUCGGUAUUGUAAGAGUAGCAUACAAACUAAAGUAAUGAUUGCUUGAUGGCUUAAAAUGGUCGAUCUAUCUUAUAAUCCUGGACAAAUUUCCUUUUCUGAUAAAGACUUUACCUAAGAACUCAUUUUAAACUAAUAUCUUCAAAAAUAUUGAAUUAUUAUUACUGUACUUGUUCUAUAAUCAUAUACAAUGUAAAUGCAAAAUGUCAUAGAGAAGCACAUAUACGUUUGUGAAACAAUCUAAAAUUAAUUAUAAAUUACAUGACAUAUGAAAUGCUUCCUCUGUUAAUACAUAUAUAUCCAUGCUUGUCCACUAUUUCCCACCAACGUGGAUGACUAAGCAAAUAAUGAGAUAAAAGCCUAGCACCGAGGGACAUGGUGGACCCAGGGCAGGCAGCAACCACCCUGGCACCGAGGGACAAUAUUUUGAUCAUCAAUGCUUUCUAUCGAAAGAUUAGAGAUCAAAAGGGGAAAAUGACAAAUAAAAAUGGCAAGCAAUAGUAUAUAUUGGAGAAUAUGAGGAAGCCAUUUGGUGUAAACCUAAUUCGGCCUGACCUUGUCUUUCCAAAAGUGGCUGACCGUGACUGUUGAGCAUGCAUUGUAUGUCUGCUUUAGAGAUUCCCUAUGGCAAGAACAAAGGCCCUUGAGAUAAAGGUGCAACUUCCCUCCCCCUCCCAACGUUGGCAUUCCCUUAAGGAUUAAGCAUCUUUCCUCAGGCUAGGAACUGAUUGCUGUGCUCACCUAUGACCACCCAGCUCGAGACAAUAGGCUUGCCUCCUGCUACGCCCUCUGAGAGAGCAGACCCACUGCCUGCUGUGUCCAUCAAGCGCUGUGCCAAUAGGGCAAUCUUGUGACUAUUGUAGGAGGGACAUUUCAAUCAUAUGUGAAACAUCCUGUAUGGGGGUGUAUGACCACUCUGUAUACCUCACUUCUUUGGUGACCUUUCUCCCUUUAGGAAGCAAGGCCCUUGGCCAUGGUCCUCAGAUUUCAGCUCAGAAUAAACUCACCCAAAUUUUCAUUUAUAGAUUGGUUAUGGAUUAUUUUCGUGGACAGGGAGAAAAACAAUUCCCUUGAAACUCACACCCAUUCAGGCAGAGAGUUAAUCAUCGUUGAUCAUUUAGUGCAGACCUCAUCAAUCUUAAAUAGCUUUGACAGCUGGAAAAAUUAAGAUUGUGUCAGGACUCCUGUUGGUUUUGAAAAGAUUAUAAAUUCUCUUAUUUCAAAAGGGCCAGGUGAAAGCUUUUUAAAUCCUGUCAAGAAUUUUAGCCUGUAUCCUGAGAGCAAUGGGUAGCCAUUGACUGGUUUUAAAAAAGGAGUGAUGACCUGAUCUGAUCUUUUGAUCUAGAAACAACCCCCUGGUUGGAAGGGCAGCUGUAGGGUUAGUGGUUAAUGAGACGG